This 465-nucleotide ribosomal RNA is filed under the name Vreelandella stevensii. RNAcentral describes it as "partial 16S ribosomal RNA". It matches the Rfam family "Bacterial small subunit ribosomal RNA", at positions 338 to 795 of the family's 1533-position model. Lineage: Bacteria; Pseudomonadati; Pseudomonadota; Gammaproteobacteria; Oceanospirillales; Halomonadaceae. The record is from RNAcentral.
CCUACGGGGGGCUGCAGUGGGGAAUAUUGGACAAUGGGGGGAACCCUGAUCCAGCCAUGCCGCGUGUGUGAAGAAGGCCCUCGGGUUGUAAAGCACUUUCAGUGAGGAAGAACGCCUGGUGGUUAAUACCCAUCAGGAAAGACAUCACUCACAGAAGAAGCACCGGCUAACUCCGUGCCAGCAGCCGCGGUAAUACGGAGGGUGCGAGCGUUAAUCGGAAUUACUGGGCGUAAAGCGCGCGUAGGUGGCUUGAUAAGCCGGUUGUGAAAGCCCCGGGCUCAACCUGGGAACGGCAUCCGGAACUGUCAAGCUAGAGUGCAGGAGAGGAAGGUAGAAUCCCCGGUGUAGCGGUGAAAUGCGUAGAGAUCGGGAGGAAUACCAGUGGCGAAGGCGGCCUUCUGGACUGACACUGACACUGAGGUGCGAAAGCGUGGGUAGCAAACAGGAUUAGAUACCCCAGUAGUC